CUGCAGGUUAUUGGGGCUGGAUCCCUCCUUAUCGAAGACAUCAGCCUGCUGAUGAGCUCCCACACGAAUUGCUUGAUUCAUUGUGUAAAGACGAUGCUGUAACGCGACCCUGUUAUAGGUCUGUAGCUCAGUUGGUUAGAGCGCACCCCUGAUAAGGGUGAGGUCGGCAGUUCAAAUCUGCCCAGACCUACCAAUUACUUGGUGCGGCCUAGGAUACGGGGCCAUAGCUCAGCUGGGAGAGCGCCUGCCUUGCACGCAGGAGGUCAGCGGUUCGAUCCCGCUUGGCUCCACCACUCUUUCAGGUUUCGCAGCACUGCUCAGAACUUAGAAAUGAACAUUCCGGUGUGAAUGUUGAUUUCUGACUUUUGUCAGAUCGUUCUUUAAAAAUUCGGAUAUGUGAUAGAUAGACUGAAUGCCAGUUUCACUGCUGGUUAUUCAGGCUAAGGUAAAAUUUGUGAGUUCUGCUCAGCAAUGAGCAACAUGCGAAUUUUCGGCGAAUGUCGUCUUCACAGUAUAACCAGAUUGCUUGGGUUUUAUAUAUGGUCAA
This 547-nucleotide transfer RNA is filed under the name Pseudomonas putida. RNAcentral's name for it is "partial contains 16S ribosomal RNA and 16S-23S ribosomal RNA intergenic spacer". The stretch from base 117 to 190 matches the Rfam family "tRNA". The record is from RNAcentral. Lineage: Bacteria; Pseudomonadati; Pseudomonadota; Gammaproteobacteria; Pseudomonadales; Pseudomonadaceae.